Molecule: ribosomal RNA, 393 nt
Filed under: Developayellaceae sp.
Lineage: Eukaryota; Developea; Developayellales; Developayellaceae
Description: partial small subunit ribosomal RNA
Rfam family: Eukaryotic small subunit ribosomal RNA
Source: RNAcentral
AUUCCAGCUCCAGUAGCGUAUAUUAAAGUUGUUGCAGUUAAAAAGCUCGUAGUUGGAUUUCUGGUUGGGAAGGUCGGUCCCGCUCGCAAGGGCGGAGCACCAGAGCCGUUUCUGGCCAUCCUUGGGAGGAUCGUGUCUGGCAUUAGUUUGUCGGGCUCAGGAUUCCCAUCGUUUACUGUGAAAAAAUUAGAGUGUUUAAAGCAGGCUUAUGCCGUGAAUACAUUAGCAUGGAAUAAUAAGAUAGGACUUUGGUACUAUUUUGUUGGUUUGCAUACCAAGGUAAUGAUUAAUAGGGAUAGUUGGGGGUAUUCAUAUUUAAUUGUCAGAGGUGAAAUUCUUGGAUUUAUGAAAGAUGAACUUAUGCGAAAGCAUUUACCAAGGAUGUUUUCAUUA